CCUACGGGAGGCAGCAGUGGGGAAUCUUGCGCAAUGGGGGCAACCCUGACGCAGCCAUGCCGCGUGAAUGAUGAAGGCCUUAGGGUUGUAAAGUUCUUUUGCCCGUGACGAUGAUGACGGUAACGGGAGAAUAAGCUCCGGCUAACUUCGUGCCAGCAGCCGCGGUAAUA
RNAcentral lists this ribosomal RNA (170 nucleotides) under uncultured bacterium. Its description in RNAcentral is "partial 16S ribosomal RNA". It matches the Rfam family "Bacterial small subunit ribosomal RNA", at positions 338 to 525 of the family's 1533-position model. The record is from RNAcentral.